This 1171-nucleotide ribosomal RNA is filed under the name Citrobacter werkmanii. RNAcentral describes it as "partial 23S ribosomal RNA". It matches the Rfam family "Bacterial large subunit ribosomal RNA", at positions 1762 to 2925 of the family's 2925-position model. The record is from RNAcentral. RNAcentral also lists the same sequence under 1 other name. Lineage: Bacteria; Pseudomonadati; Pseudomonadota; Gammaproteobacteria; Enterobacterales; Enterobacteriaceae.
UGGAGCUGAAAUCAGUCGAAGAUACCAGCUGGCUGCAACUGUUUAUUAAAAACACAGCACUGUGCAAACACGAAAGUGGACGUAUACGGUGUGACGCCUGCCCGGUGCCGGAAGGUUAAUUGAUGGGGUUAUCCGUAAGGAGAAGCUCUUGAUCGAAGCCCCGGUAAACGGCGGCCGUAACUAUAACGGUCCUAAGGUAGCGAAAUUCCUUGUCGGGUAAGUUCCGACCUGCACGAAUGGCGUAAUGAUGGCCAGGCUGUCUCCACCCGAGACUCAGUGAAAUUGAACUCGCUGUGAAGAUGCAGUGUACCCGCGGCAAGACGGAAAGACCCCGUGAACCUUUACUAUAGCUUGACACUGAACACUGGUCCUUGAUGUGUAGGAUAGGUGGGAGGCUUUGAAGUGUGGACGCCAGUCUGCAUGGAGCCAUCCUUGAAAUACCACCCUUUAAUGGCUGGUGUUCUAACGUGGGCCCCUAAUCGGGGUUGCGGACAGUGUCUGGUGGGUAGUUUGACUGGGGCGGUCUCCUCCCAAAGAGUAACGGAGGAGCACGAAGGUUAGCUAAUCCUGGUCGGACAUCAGGAGGUUAGUGCAAAGGCAUAAGCUAGCUUGACUGCGAGAGUGACGGCUCGAGCAGGUGCGAAAGCAGGUCUUAGUGAUCCGGUGGUUCUGAAUGGAAGGGCCAUCGCUCAACGGAUAAAAGGUACUCCGGGGAUAACAGGCUGAUACCGCCCAAGAGUUCAUAUCGACGGCGGUGUUUGGCACCUCGAUGUCGGCUCAUCACAUCCUGGGGCUGAAGUAGGUCCCAAGGGUAUGGCUGUUCGCCAUUUAAAGUGGUACGCGAGCUGGGUUUAGAACGUCGUGAGACAGUUCGGUCCCUAUCUGCCGUGGGCGCUGGAGAAUUGAGGGGGGCUGCUCCUAGUACGAGAGGACCGGAGUGGACGCAUCACUGGUGUUCGGGUUGUCAUGCCAAUGGCACUGCCCGGUAGCUAAAUGCGGAAAAGAUAAGUGCUGAAAGCAUCUAAGCACGAAACUUGCCCCGAGAUGAGUUCUCCCUGAGACUUUAAGUCUCCUGAAGGAACGUUGAAGACGACGACGUUGAUAGGUCGGGUGUGUAAGUGUAGCGAUACAUUGAGCUAACCGAUACUAAUGAACCGUGAGGCUUAACCUU